GAUGAACGCUGGCGGCGUGCCUAAUACAUGCAAGUCGAGCGAACAGACGAGGAGCUUGCUCCUCUGACGUUAGCGGCGGACGGGUGAGUAACACGUGGAUAACCUACCUAUAAGACUGGGAUAACUUCGGGAAACCGGAGCUAAUACCGGAUAAUAUAUUGAACCGCAUGGUUCAAUAGUGAAAGACGGUUUUGCUGUCACUUAUGGAUGGAUCCGCGCCGCAUUAGCUAGUUGGUAAGGUAACGGCUUACCAAGGCAACGAUGCGUAGCCGACCUGAGAGGGUGAUCGGCCACACUGGAACGGAGACACGGUCCAGACUACUACGGGAGGCAGCAGUAGGGAAUCUUCCGCAAUGGGCGGAAGCCUGACGGAGCAACGCCGCGUGAGUGAUGAAGGUCUUCGGAUCGUAAAACUCUGUUAUUAGGGAAGAACAAAUGUGUAAGUAACUAUGCACGUCUUGACGGUACCUAAUCAGAAAGCCACGGCUAACUACGUG
This 497-nucleotide ribosomal RNA is filed under the name uncultured bacterium. RNAcentral's name for it is "partial 16S ribosomal RNA". It matches the Rfam family "Bacterial small subunit ribosomal RNA", at positions 28 to 507 of the family's 1533-position model. The record is from RNAcentral.